This 253-nucleotide ribosomal RNA is filed under the name uncultured bacterium. RNAcentral's name for it is "partial 16S ribosomal RNA". It matches the Rfam family "Bacterial small subunit ribosomal RNA", at positions 524 to 776 of the family's 1533-position model. The record is from RNAcentral.
GACAGAGGAUGCAAGCAUUAUCCGGAAUGAUUGGGCGUACAGCAUCUGUAGGUGGCUUUUCAAGUCCGCUGUCAAAUCCCAGGGCACAACCCUGGACAGGCGGUGGAAACUACCAAGCUGGAGUAUGGUAGGGGUAGAGGGAAUUUCCGGUGGAGCAGUGAAAUGCAUUGAGAUCGGAAAGAACACCAACGGCGACAGCACUCUGCUGGGCCGACACUGACACUGAGAGACGAAAGCUAGGGGAGCAAAUGGG